This 468-nucleotide ribosomal RNA is filed under the name uncultured bacterium. RNAcentral's name for it is "partial 16S ribosomal RNA". It matches the Rfam family "Bacterial small subunit ribosomal RNA", at positions 28 to 507 of the family's 1533-position model. The record is from RNAcentral.
GACGAACGCUGGCGGCGUGCUUAACACAUGCAAGUCGAACGGAAAGGCCCUGCUUUUGUGGGGUGCUCGAGUGGCGAACGGGUGAGUAACACGUGAGUAUCCUGCCCUUGACUUUGGGAUAACUUCAGGAAACUGGGGCUAAUAUCGGAUAGGAGCUCCUGCUGCAUGGUGGGGGUUGGAAAGUUUCGGCGGUUGGGGAUGGACUCGCGGCUUAUCAGCUUGUUGGUGGGGUAGUGGCUUACCAAGGCUUUGACGGGUAGCCGGCCUGAGAGGGUGACCGGCCACAUUGGGACUGAGAUACGGCCCAGACGCCUACGGGAGGCAGCAGUGGGGAAUAUUGCACAAUGGGCGGAAGCCUGAUGCAGCAACGCCGCGUGCGGGAUGACGGCCUUCGGGUUAUAAACCGCUUUCGCCUGUGACGAAGCGUGAGUGACGGUAAUGGGUAAAGAAGCACCGGCUAACUACGUG